Molecule: non-coding RNA, 159 nt
Filed under: Protocruzia adhaerens
Lineage: Eukaryota; Ciliophora; Spirotrichea
Source: RNAcentral
CAUCCCCCAAAACUUCAAAAAACCAAAAAAAAAAAAAAAAAAGCACACAAAACAAAACAAAAGAAAAAAUCUACAUACACACCCUUUUAUUUUACCCCCUCUUGGAAUCUUAUCCUCGUGUUUCCAAGCCUUUCUUUGUUUUUUCUUCUGUCUUCAAAG